AGUUAGUGGCGAACGGGUGAGUAACGCGUGAGCAACCUGCCUUUCAGAGGGGGACAACGGUUGGAAACGACUGCUAAUACCGCAUGAUGCAUUUGGAUCGCACGGUCUGAAUGCCAAAGAUUAUAUCGCUGAAAGAUGGGCUCGCGUCUGAUUAGAUAGUUGUGGGGUAACGGCCCACCAAGUCUGCGGAUCAGUAGCCGGACUGAGAGGUUGAACGGCCACAUUGGGACUGAGAUACGGCCCAGACUCCUACGGGAGGCAGGCAGUGGGGAAUAUUUGGGGCAAUGGGGGAAACCCUGACCCAGCAACGCCGCGUGAAGGAAGAAGGCUUUCGGGUUGUAAACUUCUUUUACCAGGGACGAAGGACGUGACGGUACCUGGAGAAAAAGCCACGGCUAACUACGUGCCAGCCGCCGC
RNAcentral lists this ribosomal RNA (417 nucleotides) under uncultured bacterium. Its description in RNAcentral is "bacterial SSU rRNA". It matches the Rfam family "Bacterial small subunit ribosomal RNA", at positions 90 to 518 of the family's 1533-position model. The record is from RNAcentral.